RNAcentral lists this ribosomal RNA (2902 nucleotides) under Escherichia coli. RNAcentral's name for it is "23S ribosomal RNA". It matches the Rfam family "Bacterial large subunit ribosomal RNA". The record is from RNAcentral. RNAcentral also lists the same sequence under 1 other name. Lineage: Bacteria; Pseudomonadati; Pseudomonadota; Gammaproteobacteria; Enterobacterales; Enterobacteriaceae.
UUAAGCGACUAAGCGUACACGGUGGAUGCCCUGGCAGUCAGAGGCGAUGAAGGACGUGCUAAUCUGCGAUAAGCGUCGGUAAGGUGAUAUGAACCGUUAUAACCGGCGAUUUCCGAAUGGGGAAACCCAGUGUGAUUCGUCACACUAUCAUUAACUGAAUCCAUAGGUUAAUGAGGCGAACCGGGGGAACUGAAACAUCUAAGUACCCCGAGGAAAAGAAAUCAACCGAGAUUCCCCCAGUAGCGGCGAGCGAACGGGGAGGAGCCCAGAGCCUGAAUCAGUGUGUGUGUUAGUGGAAGCGUCUGGAAAGGCGCGCGAUACAGGGUGACAGCCCCGUACACAAAAAUGCACAUGCUGUGAGCUCGAUGAGUAGGGCGGGACACGUGGUAUCCUGUCUGAAUAUGGGGGGACCAUCCUCCAAGGCUAAAUACUCCUGACUGACCGAUAGUGAACCAGUACCGUGAGGGAAAGGCGAAAAGAACCCCGGCGAGGGGAGUGAAAAAGAACCUGAAACCGUGUACGUACAAGCAGUGGGAGCACAGAGCAAUCUGUGUGACUGCGUACCUUUUGUAUAAUGGGUCAGCGACUUAUAUUCUGUAGCAAGGUUAACCGAAUAGGGGAGCCGAAGGGAAACCGAGUCUUAACCGGGCGUUAAGUUGCAGGGUAUAGACCCGAAACCCGGUGAUCUAGCCAUGGGCAGGUUGAAGGUUGGGUAACACUAACUGGAGGACCGAACCGACUAAUGUUGAAAAAUUAGCGGAUGACUUGUGGCUGGGGGUGAAAGGCCAAUCAAACCGGGAGAUAGCUGGUUCUCCCCGAAAGCUAUUUAGGUAGCGCCUCGUGAAUUCAUCUCCGGGGGUAGAGCACUGUUUCGGCAAGGGGGUCAUCCCGACUUACCAACCCGAUGCAAACUGCGAAUACCGGAGAAUGUUAUCACGGGAGACACACGGCGGGUGCUAACGUCCGUCGUGAAGAGGGAAACAACCCAGACCGCCAGCUAAGGUCCCAAAGUCAUGGUUAAGUGGGAAACGAUGUGGGAAGGCCCAGACAGCCAGGAUGUUGGCUUAGAAGCAGCCAUCAUUUAAAGAAAGCGUAAUAGCUCACUGGUCGAGUCGGCCUGCGCGGAAGAUGUAACGGGGCUAAACCAUGCACCGAAGCUGCGGCAGCGACACUGUGUGUUGUUGGGUAGGGGAGCGUUCUGUAAGCCUGUGAAGGUGUGCUGUGAGGCAUGCUGGAGGUAUCAGAAGUGCGAAUGCUGACAUAAGUAACGAUAAAGCGGGUGAAAAGCCCGCUCGCCGGAAGACCAAGGGUUCCUGUCCAACGUUAAUCGGGGCAGGGUGAGUCGACCCCUAAGGCGAGGCCGAAAGGCGUAGUCGAUGGGAAACAGGUUAAUAUUCCUGUACUUGGUGUUACUGCGAAGGGGGGACGGAGAAGGCUAUGUUGGCCGGGCGACGGUUGUCCCGGUUUAAGCGUGUAGGCUGGUUUUCCAGGCAAAUCCGGAAAAUCAAGGCUGAGGCGUGAUGACGAGGCACUACGGUGCUGAAGCAACAAAUGCCCUGCUUCCAGGAAAAGCCUCUAAGCAUCAGGUAACAUCAAAUCGUACCCCAAACCGACACAGGUGGUCAGGUAGAGAAUACCAAGGCGCUUGAGAGAACUCGGGUGAAGGAACUAGGCAAAAUGGUGCCGUAACUUCGGGAGAAGGCACGCUGAUAUGUAGGUGAAGUCCCUCGCGGAUGGAGCUGAAAUCAGUCGAAGAUACCAGCUGGCUGCAACUGUUUAUUAAAAACACAGCACUGUGCAAACACGAAAGUGGACGUAUACGGUGUGACGCCUGCCCGGUGCCGGAAGGUUAAUUGAUGGGGUCAGCGCAAGCGAAGCUCUUGAUCGAAGCCCCGGUAAACGGCGGCCGUAACUAUAACGGUCCUAAGGUAGCGAAAUUCCUUGUCGGGUAAGUUCCGACCUGCACGAAUGGCGUAAUGAUGGCCAGGCUGUCUCCACCCGAGACUCAGUGAAAUUGAACUCGCUGUGAAGAUGCAGUGUACCCGCGGCAAGACGGAAAGACCCCGUGAACCUUUACUAUAGCUUGACACUGAACAUUGAGCCUUGAUGUGUAGGAUAGGUGGGAGGCUUUGAAGUGUGGACGCCAGUCUGCAUGGAGCCGACCUUGAAAUACCACCCUUUAAUGUUUGAUGUUCUAACGUGGACCCGUGAUCCGGGUUGCGGACAGUGUCUGGUGGGUAGUUUGACUGGGGCGGUCUCCUCCUAAAGAGUAACGGAGGAGCACGAAGGUUGGCUAAUCCUGGUCGGACAUCAGGAGGUUAGUGCAAUGGCAUAAGCCAGCUUGACUGCGAGCGUGACGGCGCGAGCAGGUGCGAAAGCAGGUCAUAGUGAUCCGGUGGUUCUGAAUGGAAGGGCCAUCGCUCAACGGAUAAAAGGUACUCCGGGGAUAACAGGCUGAUACCGCCCAAGAGUUCAUAUCGACGGCGGUGUUUGGCACCUCGAUGUCGGCUCAUCACAUCCUGGGGCUGAAGUAGGUCCCAAGGGUAUGGCUGUUCGCCAUUUAAAGUGGUACGCGAGCUGGGUUUAGAACGUCGUGAGACAGUUCGGUCCCUAUCUGCCGUGGGCGCUGGAGAACUGAGGGGGGCUGCUCCUAGUACGAGAGGACCGGAGUGGACGCAUCACUGGUGUUCGGGUUGUCAUGCCAAUGGCACUGCCCGGUAGCUAAAUGCGGAAGAGAUAAGUGCUGAAAGCAUCUAAGCACGAAACUUGCCCCGAGAUGAGUUCUCCCUGACCCUUUAAGGGUCCUGAAGGAACGUUGAAGACGACGACGUUGAUAGGCCGGGUGUGUAAGCGCAGCGAUGCGUUGAGCUAACCGGUACUAAUGAACCGUGAGGCUUAACCU